RNAcentral lists this long non-coding RNA (258 nucleotides) under Setaria viridis. Its description in RNAcentral is "long non-coding RNA (SVIR_LNC006510)". The record is from RNAcentral. Lineage: Eukaryota; Viridiplantae; Streptophyta; Magnoliopsida; Poales; Poaceae.
UGGGGGUAUUGGAUGAGUCAAUGGAAUGCAUCGGUGAAGUUUUUGGGCAAGGAGGCCAACAGCUAUUUGCGUCAGCAAGGGCACUGGAUGAUUCGAUACCCACCCAAAGUGACCAUUGGAUCAUCCGAUGCUCACUGAUUUUACUAGCCGUUGGAGCAACAGCUCUUUGAGGUCCUUGGAAUAUUUAUACCCCCUCUAGUCACCCAUUUGGAUUGUAUGGAGUGUCCAGGAGUGCAUUCAAGACUGAGACUCAUCGAG